GUAGACUAGCAAACGAGAGUGGUCACCCGCAAACACCAUCACGAAUUUGCUGUUUUUCUUACUUUUCGCCGUUUCUACGCCUUGACAUGGAUUCCAGUGAUAGUGACGAUGAUAUUCAGGCUUCCAAGAUUACCAGGAAGAGAAAAAAGGAAGCCUAAACGAUGAAAACUGGCUGUAGACAAGCAAACAAGAAAAAAGUGAUUCUGUAUAACCACACCAUUACGGAUUUGAUGUUUUCCUUAAUUUUUCGCUAUUUCUUCGCCUUGACAUGGAUUCCAGUGACCAUGGCAGUGAGAUUCAAGCUUCGAAGAUUACCAGGAAGAGAAAAGGAGCCCUGAACGAUUAAAAGCGGGCCGUAGAUAAGCAGACGAGGGCAGAAAGUGAGGUGAGGGCAAGGACAUUGAUUUUUCCGCGUGCUCAGUGCAUUAAUCCGUGUGGCAAAGAUUGGUAUUAUUAACGCGCCGAUAUCUCGUUUCCUAAUUAACCUACUGCCUCCCGGAAAUCAUUAAAAGAGUGUAGAGAUCAAAGUGACUGUGAAAAUAGCCCAUGAGCCGUGUCCUUUGAUGUAAAAAAAAAAAAAAAAAAAAACCUCCUCUUGGCGCAGCGCGAGGCAUAUGACAUUUAUUUGACUUGACAUACCCAUCCGAACUAAAAAUCUAACCUAAUUUGCGUGUUCAGUGACGGCCAAGUGUUUUAUUAUAGAUUUUGUGUACAUGGUGACGGUGAAAAGUGUUGUGACUGUAUUGUAAUGUGUGCAGCUUCUUCAUUUACGUUCGUGGCAUAUGAGAGCAACGCUUGUACACGGAAAAAAAGAUUGCAUUGUGACGGUGACGGUGAAAAGUGUUCUGAGUGUACUGUGUCGUGUGUUGCUUCUUCCUUCACGUUUAUGGCAUUGAAGAGCAACGAUUACACACGAAAAGCUAAGAAGAAUGUCCUGUACUCGGCCUGCGCGGUGUGGACCCGACAUGCCAGGCUACCAGCAGGCACGCCAUCUUGAAGGGUUCUCUACGCAACAUUCACUACGAGGAUUGCCACAAGACCGAGAUGCCCCCCUUAAGAGCAGAGGCCGAGUGCGAGGGUGUGAGGGCCGGCACCAGCUGAUCAGACCUUCGGGAGGGGCGGCGCGCAUCCUCCCACUGUCACUGCCGGCCACGGUGUUCAUGACGACCCACUGCUUCAGCUUCUCCACGCCGCGCACCAAGGCCUGGCAGUGCUCGCGGACGAACUCCUCGGACAGGGGCGAGCUGGAGUCCGGCUGCGUCCUGAGGGCUUGGAGGGCCACGGAGCCAUCGAAGCACACGAAGCAGAAGCGCGUCGUGAGCUCCGAGGCGGGACGCAGGAAGGGGUGAGAGGACAUGACCUGCGGGGGACGAAGACAUGCGCUUAGAAUGGCCUGGGACAUCUGCUCGCUGGUGGUGAUGCCGCGUCUCUUCAGCCCUUCUCUCACCACCUCGAAGUCUGCCAUGUAGUAGUACCCGGCUUGGCUCUUCACGCCGCCCACGCCCACGCUGGAGAGCUCUCUGUCGGGUUGGUCAGGAUGAGGAGUCUCCACAUGGACGAGCGCCCCUGCUGCUGCUCCUCCUGCACCACCGCCCGCAGCACGCCCGGGGCCAGCUUCCACCCCUUGCUGGCAUCCGUGGGCAGAAUGAUGGGGUCCUUCCCGGCGAGGCGACACUGCGAGGCGUACGUGGUCCAGGCGGGCGACGGCAGGAGGAUGUCUGAAGGAUGAGAAGGCUACCUCAGAGAUCAAGUGAAGACGUUGGAGGUGUUGAAACAUGGAUACUACUUGACAGGUGCAGGAUUGGACCUUUCGAGGUAGCGUCAUGUCGUGGAACACCUAGCAGUGGCUGAGUCCGCUGUGGUCUCCUUCUCUGAUGCCAUGUGGGGUGGUGAAGGCCUUUGUGGUCUUGGUAGAGAAGUACAGACACAAGGAAGGCAACACCCUCAUCACCAUUCUCCAGGACCUUGUCACUGGCAUACUCCCUACAAGUAUCCCAGAGACAGUUCCUGAAGUUUGACUGAUCCUGGAAUGUCCCCCAGCUGUGUAAAAGUCCUGUCCAUCCACACAAGUAUGGAUGGCCUGUGACACCGACCAGGACUACACCCUGUUGGAGGGUUGCAACACCUGGAAAGGAGCAAAAGAAUGAAGAAACUAAAAAGAGCCUUUGGGGACCUUCAACAAUCUAUAGUUUCACAGUACUGGAAUGUAAGAGCUUCACAUCACUCAGAACAGUACACUAUCAAUGUAAAUUAUUGCAUUAGAAAAAAUUGCAUAAUGUAACUUAUUGCAUUCUGGACCCGGGCCUUCUGAGUGUAAAAGUAAGGUUGGCAAACCAACAGACAUACUGAUGAGCUAAAGGUCACUGUGCCAGAGGCCACUUCAGUGCCAUCACACCUGAUGCUCCAGCCCCUCACUGUGGGCAUCACGUAUAGCGCCGCAGAAGUGGUGGCCUCAUGAGGGAACACUUUAGUUCACCACUGGCUCACUUGGUUACCUGGACUGACUUUCUAACCCAGUAAUCCUGCAUUUGAUCCCUAGGACUCACGGACGUUGUAUUACAGUUAUCCUUGUAUGUUGUGUAAAGCAUUAUUUGAAAUUGGGAAGUUUGUCUAAUAAAAAAUCCUGAUGGGGAA
Molecule: long non-coding RNA, 2634 nt
Organism: Eriocheir sinensis (Chinese mitten crab)
Lineage: Eukaryota; Metazoa; Arthropoda; Malacostraca; Decapoda; Varunidae
Exons: 8
Source: RefSeq, a predicted model, not a curated record